UACAUGGGGUGCAAACGUUGCUCGGAAUUAUUGGGCGUAAAGCGCACGUAGGCGGUUCGUUUAAGUCGGAUGUGAAAGCCCUCGGCUCAACUGAGGAAGUGCACCCGAAACUGGCGAGCUUGAGUACGAAAGAGGAUCGCGGAAUUCCCGGUGUAGAGGUGAAAUUCGUAGAUAUCGGGAGGAACACCGGUGGCGAAGGCGGCGAUCUGGGUCGAUACUGACGCUGAGGUGCGAAAGCGUGGGGAGCAAACGGG
Molecule: ribosomal RNA, 254 nt
Filed under: uncultured bacterium
Lineage: Bacteria
Description: partial 16S ribosomal RNA
Rfam family: Bacterial small subunit ribosomal RNA
Source: RNAcentral